RNAcentral lists this ribosomal RNA (253 nucleotides) under uncultured bacterium. RNAcentral describes it as "partial 16S ribosomal RNA". It matches the Rfam family "Bacterial small subunit ribosomal RNA", at positions 524 to 776 of the family's 1533-position model. The record is from RNAcentral.
GACGAACCGUACAAACGUUAUUCGGAAUCACUGGGCUUAAAGGGUGCGUAGGCGGCCAUGUAAGUGAGGUGUGAAAUCCCUCGGCUCAACCGAGGAACUGCGCUUCAUACUGCAUGGCUUGAGGGAGACAGGGGUAAGCGGAACUGAUGGUGGAGCGGUGAAAUGCGUUGAUAUCAUCAGGAACACCGGUGGCGAAAGCGGCUUACUGGGUCUCUUCUGACGCUGAGGUACGAAAGCUAGGGGAGCGAACAGG